Molecule: ribosomal RNA, 301 nt
Filed under: uncultured bacterium
Lineage: Bacteria
Description: partial 16S ribosomal RNA
Rfam family: Bacterial small subunit ribosomal RNA
Source: RNAcentral
CAGUCGCCACGGUAAUACGUAGGGUGCGAGCGUUAAUCGGAAUUACUGGGCGUAAAGCGUGCGCAGGCGGUUGUGUAAGACAGGUGUGAAAUCCCCGGGCUUAACCUGGGAACUGCGCUUGUGACUGCACAGCUAGAGUAUGGCAGAGGGGGGUGGAAUUCCACGUGUAGCAGUGAAAUGCGUAGAGAUGUGGAGGAACACCGAUAGCGAGGGCAGCCCCCUGGGCCAAUACUGACGCUCAUGCACGAAAGCGUGGGGAGCAAACAGGAUUAGAUACCCCGGUAGUCCCUGUCUCUUAUAC